Molecule: non-coding RNA, 145 nt
Organism: Lupinus angustifolius (narrow-leaved blue lupine)
Lineage: Eukaryota; Viridiplantae; Streptophyta; Magnoliopsida; Fabales; Fabaceae
Rfam family: Plant signal recognition particle RNA
Source: Rfam
UAUGCCCACUCCAAGUUGAGAGUUGAUUCAUGGGACUUGCGCUGAGGCAUAGGUCUCAUGAUUCCUAGACCGGAGGGCACAACAUGAGGCUGGAUUUCACAGAACAGCGGCUACCUCCCUCUCUCAACAGUGGAGGGAUAACAUG